This 536-nucleotide unclassified non-coding RNA is filed under the name Hevea brasiliensis (rubber tree). Lineage: Eukaryota; Viridiplantae; Streptophyta; Magnoliopsida; Malpighiales; Euphorbiaceae. The record is from RNAcentral.
GGCAACUCCAGUUUUAGAAAAGGGAAGAAAACCCCAGCAGCCACGGGGAUGGAAAUCACAUUGUACGCCAUGGCAAAGAUGUAAUUCCACCUAAUCCGCGCAAAUGUCUUUCUUGAGAGGUCUAUGGCAAUGAUGACAUCCUCCAAGUUGCUCCUCAUCAACACGUAUUCUGCAGCUUCUAUUGCAAUAUCAGUUCCUGCUCCAAUUGCCAUACCAACAUCAGCAGCAGCUAAUGCAGGUGAGUCAUUGAUUCCAUCACCUACCAUAGCAACUAUACUGCCUCCUUUUUGAAAUGAGCGGACGACCUCAGCUUUCCCUGCUGGCAACACCUCUGCUCUAACGUCCUGAAUACCGACCUCCUUAGCAACUGCACGAGCUGUUCUCCAAUUAUCACCAGUAACCAUGAUUGGUUUGACACCCAUUUUUAUAAGGCCCUCUACAACAACAGCCGCUUCUCUCUUUAGUGGGUCUGCUAUCCCCAGAGCUCCAAUUACAAUAUUAUCAUGAGCAACAAGUAUGCCAGUCCUUGCACUUUC